Molecule: ribosomal RNA, 514 nt
Filed under: Bolitoglossa dofleini
Lineage: Eukaryota; Metazoa; Chordata; Amphibia; Caudata; Plethodontidae
Description: partial large subunit ribosomal RNA
Rfam family: Bacterial large subunit ribosomal RNA
Source: RNAcentral
CGCCUUUUGUAAUAUUCACAUAAAAGGUCCUGCCUGCCCAAUGACUUAUUUUAAUGGCCGCGGUAUUAUGACCGUGCAAAGGUAGCGUAAUCAUUUGUCUCCUAAAUAGAGACCAGUAUGAAUGGCAAGACGAAGGCCUUACUGUCUCCCUAGACUAAUCAAUGAAAUUGAUCUCCCCGUGCAGAAGCGGGGAUAAAAGUAUAAGACGAGAAGACCCUGUGGAGCUUCAAACUCUAAUGCUAACUAAAUAUAAAUAUUAUAGCACUAAGCUUUAGGUUGGGGCGACCAUGAGGUAUAACUUAACCCUCACGUAAUAACAAGAAGGACACUUCAAACAACUAACACAGCACUUGACCCAAUAAUUGAUCAACGGACUAAGUUACCCCAGGGAUAACAGCGCAAUCUACUCAAAGAGUCCCUAUCGACGAGCAGGUUUACGACCUCGAUGUUGGAUCAGGACCCCCAAAUAAUGCAACAGCUAUUAAAGGUUCGUUUGUUCAACGAUUAAAGUCCU